AGAUGAAGCCGUUUCAGCUCGUCGGUCUUAAUUGGCUCAUCCUGAUGCAUCGCCGCAAGCUCAGCUGCAUCCUCGCAGACGAGAUGGGGUUGGGUAAAACGAUACAGGCGAUAUCGUUCAUCGCGUAUCUGGUGGAAGAGGGCGCCACCGGUCCUCACCUCAUCGUCGUUCCGGCGUCCGUCAUCGAUAACUGGGCUGAGAGAGUUCGGUUCUGUGGU
This is a long non-coding RNA of Priapulus caudatus, 218 nucleotides long. RefSeq lists it as uncharacterized. NCBI's taxonomy places the organism in Eukaryota, Metazoa, Priapulida, Priapulimorpha, Priapulimorphida, Priapulidae. The record is from RefSeq and is a predicted model, not a curated record. The transcript has 3 exons.